Molecule: transfer-messenger RNA, 369 nt
Filed under: Chloroflexota bacterium
Lineage: Bacteria; Bacillati; Chloroflexota
Description: Chloroflexi bacterium (soil metagenome) transfer-messenger RNA
Rfam family: transfer-messenger RNA
About the family: Bacterial tmRNA, also known as 10Sa RNA or SsrA, is named for its dual tRNA and mRNA-like properties. Its role is to liberate the mRNA from a stalled ribosome.
Source: RNAcentral
GGGGAUGCGUGGUCUCGACAGGGCCGGAUUCCCGAGGAACGCGAGCCGAGGUGCCGUCGGGCCUCGUAAAAAGGCGGCAAAAGAAGUAACUGGCAACCGCCAGCCUGCUCUCGCCCUCGCUGCUUAGGCAGUAAGGUGAGCGUGGAAGCAGCCUCAUCCCCGUGGGCUGUGGAAGCGUCAUUCAGCGGGGAUGCGCUUCGGAGUAGCGUCACGUAGUCCGAAGCAAAGCCCGAAAGGGGACGUGACUGGUCCUUCGCGAACGGUGCCGAUGCCGGCUGCGGAGGAUGACGACAAAACAUCGGACACGCUCGUAGUGGGCCUCGGCUGAACGCUCUGGACGGGGAGUUCGACUCUCCCCCAUCUCCACCA